This 119-nucleotide ribosomal RNA is filed under the name Pteropus alecto (black flying fox). The record is from RNAcentral. Lineage: Eukaryota; Metazoa; Chordata; Mammalia; Chiroptera; Pteropodidae.
AUCUACGGCCAUGCCACCCUGAACAAGCUCAAUCCCGUCUGAUCUCGGAAGCUAAGCAGGGUCGGGCCUGGUUAGUACUUGGGUGGGAGACCACCUAGGAAGACCAGGUGCUGUAGGCG